RNAcentral lists this long non-coding RNA (372 nucleotides) under Apteryx rowi (Okarito brown kiwi). RNAcentral describes it as "lncRNA (ENSARWG00000009014.1)". The record is from RNAcentral. Lineage: Eukaryota; Metazoa; Chordata; Aves; Apterygiformes; Apterygidae.
CAGGAAUGCAAAGUGUUGUCCCGAGAUGCCUAAUACCAGUUCUGGGUCUCACUCUGUGGACAUUGCAUUCAGACUGCAUCAAAUUAAGCUCAAUUAUUUCCACUGCUCAGCAGAUUUCACCAAAGUACAUGGAAGAAUGGCUGCAAAGACUACUCCCCAGAGAAAGAAGCAUGAAUUCUGAGGCAACAGCACAGAGCAGAUACUUAGCUUGUAUAAAUCAGCAGAUCUGCAUUCAUGUGAAAGGAAUGAUGACAGCUGAGGAAGUGGCUGAAGGUUUCCUGCUUGACUUGAACAGAACAUCCACUCUCUGGCCAAUAUCCCUCUGCAUUUAAUUUGGCCACACUUCUUUUUUUGCACAGGACUAAAAAGUUU